This 327-nucleotide ribosomal RNA is filed under the name uncultured eukaryote. RNAcentral describes it as "partial 18S ribosomal RNA". It matches the Rfam family "Eukaryotic small subunit ribosomal RNA", at positions 1470 to 1796 of the family's 1831-position model. The record is from RNAcentral.
CCCUUAGAUGUUCUGGGCCGCACGCGCGCUACACUGAUGCAUGCAGCAAGUCUUUUCCUUGGCCGAGAGGCCUGGGCAAUCUUUGAAUAUGCAUCGUGAUGGGGAUAGACGAUUGCAAUUAUUCGUCUUCAACGAGGAAUUCCUAGUAAACGCAAGUCAUCAGCUUGCAUUGAUUACGUCCCUGCCCUUUGUACACACCGCCCGUCGCACCUACCGAUUGAAUGGUCCGGUGAAGCGUUCGGACCGUGGCCUUUGGACGGUUCGCCGUCUGUUGGCUGCGGGAAGUUCGUUAAACCUUAUCAUUUAGAGGAAGGAGAAGUCGUAACA